RNAcentral lists this ribosomal RNA (1446 nucleotides) under Lactiplantibacillus plantarum. RNAcentral's name for it is "Lactobacillus plantarum 16S ribosomal RNA". It matches the Rfam family "Bacterial small subunit ribosomal RNA". Lineage: Bacteria; Bacillati; Bacillota; Bacilli; Lactobacillales; Lactobacillaceae. The record is from RNAcentral.
ACGCUGGCGGCGUGCCUACNCAUGCAAGUCGAACGAACUCUGGUAUUGAUUGGUGCUUGCAUCAUGAUUUACAUUUGAGUGAGUGGCGAACUGGUGAGUAACACGUGGGAAACCUGCCCAGAAGCGGGGGAUAACACCUGGAAACAGAUGCUAAUACCGCAUAACAACUUGGACCGCAUGGUCCGAGUUUGAAAGAUGGCUUCGGCUAUCACUUUUGGAUGGUCCCGCGGCGUAUUAGCUAGAUGGUGGGGUAACGGCUCACCAUGGCAAUGAUACGUAGCCGACCUGAGAGGGUAAUCGGCCACAUUGGGACUGAGACACGGCCCAAACUCCUACGGGAGGCAGCAGUAGGGAAUCUUCCACAAUGGACGAAAGUCUGAUGGAGCAACGCCGCGUGAGUGAAGAAGGGUUUCGGCUCGUAAAACUCUGUUGUUAAAGAAGAACAUAUCUGAGAGUAACUGUUCAGGUAUUGACGGUAUUUAACCAGAAAGCCACGGCUAACUACGUGCCAGCAGCCGCGGUAAUACGUAGGUGGCAAGCGUUGUCCGGAUUUAUUGGGCGUAAAGCGAGCGCAGGCGGUUUUUUAAGUCUGAUGUGAAAGCCUUCGGCUCAACCGAAGAAGUGCAUCGGAAACUGGGAAAACUUGAGUGCAGAAGANGACAGUGGAACUCCAUGUGUAGCGGUGAAAUGCGUAGAUAUAUGGAAGAACACCANUGGCGAAGGCGGCUGUCUGGUCUGUAACUGACGCUGAGGCUCNAAAGUAUGGGUAGCAAACANGAUUANAUACCCUGGUAGUCCAUACCGUAAACGAUGAAUGCUAAGUGUUGGAGGGUUUCCGCCCUUCAGUGCUGCAGCUAACGCAUUAAGCAUUCCCCCCUGGGGAGUACGGCCGCAAGGCUGAAACUCAAAGGAANUGACGGGGGNCCGCACAAGCGGUGGAGCAUGUGGUUUAAUUNGAAGCUACGCGAAGAACCUUACCAGGUCUUGACAUACUAUGCANAUCUAAGANAUUAGACGUUCCCUUCGGGGANCAUGGAUACAGGUGGUGCAUGGUUGUCGUCAGCUCGUGUCGUGAGAUGUUGGGUUAAGUCCCGCAACGAGCGCAACCCUUAUUAUCAGUUGCCAGCAUUAAGUUGGGCACUCUGGUGAGACUGCCGGUGACAAACCGGAGGAAGGUGGGGAUGACGUCAAAUCAUCAUGCCCCUUAUGACCUGGGCUACACACGUGCUACAAUGGAUGGUACAACGAGUUGCGAACUCGCGAGAGUAAGCUAAUCUCUUAAAGCCAUUCUCAGUUCGGAUUGUAGGCUGCAACUCGCCUACAUGAAGUCGGAAUCGCUAGUAAUCGCGGAUCAGCAUGCCGCGGUGAAUACGUUCCCGGGCCUUGUACACACCGCCCGUCACACCAUGAGAGUUUGUAACACCCAAAGUCGGGGGAGUAACCUUU